This 385-nucleotide ribosomal RNA is filed under the name uncultured bacterium. RNAcentral describes it as "bacterial SSU rRNA". It matches the Rfam family "Bacterial small subunit ribosomal RNA", at positions 355 to 755 of the family's 1533-position model. The record is from RNAcentral.
UGGGGAAUCUUGCGCAAUGGGCGAAAACCUGACGCAGCAACGCCGCGUGCGGGAUGACGGCCUUCGUGGUUGUAAACCGCUUUCAGCAGGGACGAAAAUGACGGUACCUGCAGAAGAAGCCCCGGCUAACUACGUGCCAGCAGCCGCGGUAAUACGUAGGGGGCGAGCGUUGUCCGGAAUCAUUGGGCGUAAAGAGCUCGUAGGCGGUUCAGUAAGUCGGGUGUGAAAGCUCCGAGCUCAACUCGGAGAGGCCACUCGAUACUGCUGUGACUAGAAUCCAGUAGGGGAGUGUGGAACUCCUGGUGUAGCGGUGAAAUGCGCAGAUAUCAGGAAGAACACCAGCGGCGAAGGCGGCACUCUGGGCUGGUAUUGACGCUGAGGAGCG